This 563-nucleotide ribosomal RNA is filed under the name uncultured bacterium. RNAcentral describes it as "partial 16S ribosomal RNA". It matches the Rfam family "Bacterial small subunit ribosomal RNA", at positions 355 to 912 of the family's 1533-position model. The record is from RNAcentral.
UGGGGAAUUUUGGACAAUGGGCGAAAGCCUGAUCCAGCAAUGCCGCGUGUGUGAAGAAGGCCUUCGGGUUGUAAAGCACUUUUGUCCGGAAAGAAAUCCUUGGCUCUAAUACAGUCGGGGGAUGACGGUACCGGAAGAAUAAGCACCGGCUAACUACGUGCCAGCAGCCGCGGUAAUACGUAGGGUGCAAGCGUUAAUCGGAAUUACUGGGCGUAAAGCGUGCGCAGGCGGUUUGCUAAGACCGAUGUGAAAUCCCCGGGCUCAACCUGGGAACUGCAUUGGUGACUGGCAGGCUAGAGUAUGGCAGAGGGGGGUAGAAUUCCACGUGUAGCAGUGAAAUGCGUAGAGAUGUGGAGGAAUACCGAUGGCGAAGGCAGCCCCCUGGGCCAAUACCGACGCUCAUGCACGAAAGCGUGGGGAGCAAACAGGAUUAGAUACCCUGGUAGUCCACGCCCUAAACGAUGUCAACUAGUUGUUGGGGAUUCAUUCCUUAGUAACGUAGCUAACGCGUGAAGUUGACCGCCUGGGGAGUACGGUCGCAAGAUUAAAACUCAAAUGAAUUG